UUAUCGUUACACACUGGAUCGGAAAGUUAUGGUGAUCUGCACUGGUUUCAAACCUCUUUAAGCUUCAAGUUGGCUUUUGAAAGCAUCGUUGUUUUACCCUACUUCAUCAACACCAUGAAAAGUGAACUGGAACUUGUGGUCUGCGUGAUUUGUUGAACUAGAAGACCAUGGAAAAAUGGCGGAGAUAUUCCCAAGUCACUUCUGAUUGUGCUGAGAGCUCAACAGUGCCAAACUUUGACAAAUUGACAUUCGCCAGUUGGUCUCAUUCAAUUCCAUUGCUGUCUGCCUAAUAAUGUCAGUGCUUUGCAGAUGCCGAGAGAGGCUGAAGUGACAAGAGGACAUUGCCUAUCAUUAGACCAAGAUUGCAGAUGGUCUUCUCGAUAUCCAGGAAGUCCAGGAGGUAGCUUCCGGUUUUGACCAUCGAGAGGAACUGGACAACUGUGUUGAAACUCUACUGGCGUUAGGACAGGAUUCCUCUGUCUGAUGCAGCUGAAAGUGUUCUCCAGGCAAUCCUCGGACAAGCUAUUGUUGAGAAUGCACUUCUGUACCUGGCUUACUUCCAGGAUUAAUGUUGCAGCAGUCACCACUACGUUUUGAACCGGUGUCCAGCUGCCCUUUUGACCAAUCUUCAGGCCACGAAAAAGAUGGAAGGUGUCCCAAUGCAAGUUUAUGGCUUUCUCUAACUCAUUCUCUUUCAAUCUGCUUAGGGCAAUUACGACAAGGUCGAACCGGUGGUCUACUUCCUCAAGGAACCAUGAUGUUUUCAGGGAGGACUGUGACCGUUUCUCCUCCUCAACCAGGUUUUUCAGGACAGCACUGGUCACUCUACUAAAGACGUGCAUGGCAGGACCAAGGAUGCUGAGGACGAGAAAGGUGUACAGUAAGAUGAACAGCCUUCAGCUUCAACAUCUUCAACACCUCCCCUAACAUUCCUGGCUCCAUCAAACGUGCUGCAUCCUCCUUAGCUUGUCCCUGUUAUAGGUGUGCAGAGUUUAUAGACAGCUACCCAUCCUUUGCACAUUGUGUAUUUUCUGUUGUUCACACACACACACUUCAGACAUUAGGAACUGAAAUAUUUUUUGAAAAUAUAAAUGAGUGUCAAACCUCCUUUCUAUGUUGCAGUCCCACCACACCUCCCUUCUGGUAUUUUUGUUGUUUUUCCCCCUAGUUUUUUAGUUUAGUUUUUAGUUAACACACACUUGUUUCACACAUUGAAAAAUGAAUAAAAUAUCUAAAAUGUAUCAGUCACCUUUUUAUGCUGCAGUCUCACCAGCUAUUUGAAAUAUGAG
This is a long non-coding RNA of Alosa alosa (allis shad), 1289 nucleotides long. RefSeq lists it as uncharacterized. The transcript is spliced from 5 exons. The record is from RefSeq and is a predicted model, not a curated record. Lineage: Eukaryota; Metazoa; Chordata; Actinopteri; Clupeiformes; Clupeidae.